This is a long non-coding RNA of Lingula anatina, 278 nucleotides long. The record is from RefSeq and is a predicted model, not a curated record. Lineage: Eukaryota; Metazoa; Brachiopoda; Lingulata; Lingulida; Lingulidae.
CCCAUAGUCUAAGCAGUUUGGUUACAUGCAUUAUUCUGUUGAGGCGAGAAAACUGAACUUGCUGUUACAAUCUGGCUAGCUUAGUGACACGACAUUUGAAGAUGACACAAAAGUUAAGAACAAACCAGUUAGUCGGAUUUGUAGUAAGUAUAAUCGUACUGCUACUGAUUGUGAGCUACGCCUUACAGCAAAGAAACACUGUAUUGGUUGAGGAACAGUUCGAUACAAGGAACGUUCAGGUACACCAAUACAACAGAGCCAGACAGGAUCGAUUGACC